GCUUAUCUCCAUUCCAGAUUGAAUAUACCCGAUCUCGUCUGAUCUCGGAAGUCAAGCAAUCUCGGGCUUGGUUAGUACUUGGAUGGGUGACCGCUUGGGAAUUAAUACGAAGUGUGAUAAGCA
Molecule: non-coding RNA, 123 nt
Organism: Ciona savignyi (Pacific transparent sea squirt)
Lineage: Eukaryota; Metazoa; Chordata; Ascidiacea; Phlebobranchia; Cionidae
Source: Rfam